RNAcentral lists this ribosomal RNA (497 nucleotides) under uncultured bacterium. Its description in RNAcentral is "partial 16S ribosomal RNA". It matches the Rfam family "Bacterial small subunit ribosomal RNA", at positions 28 to 507 of the family's 1533-position model. The record is from RNAcentral.
GAUGAACGCUGGCGGCGUGCCUAAUACAUGCAAGUCGAGCGAACAGACGAGGAGCUUGCUCCUCUGACGUUAGCGGCGGACGGGUGAGUAACACGUGGAUAACCUACCUAUAAGACGGGGAUAACUUCGGGAAACCGGAGCUAAUACCGGAUAAUAUAUUGAACCGCAUGGUGCAAUAGUGAAAGACGGUUUUGCUGUCACUUAUAGAUGGAUCCGCGCCGCAUUAGCUAGUUGGUAAGGUAACGGCUUACCAAGGCGACGAUGCGUAGCCGACCUGAGAGGGUGAUCGGCCACACUGGAACUGAGACACGGUCCAGACUCCUACGGGAGGCAGCAGUAGGGAAUCUUCCGCAAUGGGCGAAAGCCUGACGCAGCCACGCCGCGUGAGUGAUGAAGGUCUUCGGAUCGUAAAACUCUGUUAUUAGGGAAGAACAACUGUGUAAGUAACUCUGCACGUCUUGACGGUACCUAAUCAGAAAGCCCCGGCUAACUACGUG